UACGAAGGUUGCAAGCGUUGUUCGGAUUUACUGGGCGUACAGGGAGCGUAGGCGGUUGGGUAAGCCCUCCGUGAAAUCUCCAGGCUUAACCUGGAAAGUGCAGAGGGGACUGCUCGGCUAGAGGAUGGGAGAGGAGCGCUGAAUUCCCGGUGUAGCGGUGAAAUGCGUAGAGAUCGGGAGGAAGGCCGGUGGCGAAGGCGGCGCUCUGGAACAUUUCUGACGCUGAGGCUCGAAAGCGUGGGGAGCAAACAGG
This 253-nucleotide ribosomal RNA is filed under the name uncultured bacterium. RNAcentral describes it as "partial 16S ribosomal RNA". It matches the Rfam family "Bacterial small subunit ribosomal RNA", at positions 524 to 776 of the family's 1533-position model. The record is from RNAcentral.